GGGCCAUUAGCUCAGUUGGUAGAGCACCUGACUCUUAAUCAGGUUGUCCCCGGUUCGAUCCCGUGAUGGCCCACCA
Molecule: transfer RNA, 76 nt
Filed under: Bacilli bacterium
Lineage: Bacteria; Bacillati; Bacillota; Bacilli
Also listed under: 1 other name
Description: tRNA-Lys
Rfam family: tRNA
About the family: Transfer RNA (tRNA) molecules are approximately 80 nucleotides in length. Their secondary structure includes four short double-helical elements and three loops (D, anti-codon, and T loops).
Source: RNAcentral